GAAUGUUGACGAAAAGUUAAGUAUUAAAUUUGAACUCAAUUGAACGUGGACACAAAUAAAGGUCACCAAGUCUUGGCACAGGUUGUGUGAGCCCCUUUGAGGCGUUCAUUCAGCACUGUUUCAGAGAAGUCUCUAUUUCAAUCUAUUCCUAUAUGUUAGUUAUUGUAAAACAAUAGCCAAUCACAAUAACAAGUUGACCUUUUUGUGUUUCUUGAGCCCAGUCACAAAGGGCCCUCGUGACUGGGCUUCAUGCCAAACAACUUGUUACAAGAAGAGCUAGGGUCCCAGACCACACUAAAGCUUCAAGAAACCUCUCCUAGUCUGUGCAAGGACUGUUGGCUGACUCUGGAGCCCAGACUGUUGCUUCCUGGUCUGGUGAUAAAUCCUCCAUAGUCUGGUAUUGUUGUCUCUAACCCAGACCUGAUCACCUGGCUACAGCAAGGAAAAGAAACUUUGACCAUGAAGAGACAGGUGAUGAUUGCCAAACACACAGAUGGACUCACAGCCUGUCACCCAGGCUGGAGUGCAGUGC
Molecule: long non-coding RNA, 532 nt
Organism: Homo sapiens (human)
Lineage: Eukaryota; Metazoa; Chordata; Mammalia; Primates; Hominidae
Exons: 3
Source: RefSeq, a predicted model, not a curated record